Rhinolophus ferrumequinum (greater horseshoe bat) is the source of this 935-nucleotide long non-coding RNA. RefSeq lists it as uncharacterized. Lineage: Eukaryota; Metazoa; Chordata; Mammalia; Chiroptera; Rhinolophidae. The record is from RefSeq and is a predicted model, not a curated record. The transcript is spliced from 4 exons.
UGUGGGUCACCGGGGCGGGGGAGCGAGGAAAUUAGAGGGGGUGUUGUCGGUCCAGGAGAAAGGCGCCCGAAAGCACAGCAUAAUAGCGUUUGGUAUUCACUUAUCGCAGUGCUUCCCAGGCAUGACCAAGUUAUUCUCUUGAUUGGAGCCCAGGGAGAUGGGAAAGGUAAGCAGAACCAACCAAUUCCUUUGCAAAUGCUGACACGGAGGCAGGCAGAACGGAAUUUGCCUGUCUAGUGUCCCAAGUAAGAAGCUGGGCCUCCUUCCUCAGUGUAUGAUCCAUUCGAGUGAAGUGAACUCCUGCUCGGCAAGGUUUGGGUACCCCAGACACGAUGGAGAGCAAAACCAGGUCUGCGAGUGUGGAGCUGUCCACCUAGACCGAUGAGAGAAACGAGGAAGGAACUCAGUGUGAGGAGGUACCCACCUUACUUCUAGCACAGCACCUGCCCAUUGUCCUAUAUCGGAGGUUCCUAGAGAAAUGAAAGAAAAUUGCAAAGUUUAAUUGGAAAUCUGUUGGAAUUGGUACAGGAAGAAUCCAAAAAUAGACUUCACACUCAUGUAUAUCAGGCUUUAUACCCUUCUUGGAAAGGCUACUGUCCCUGUUGUCACCCUCCAGAACCAUCUAGAAGCACCUGAUCCUCACUGCAAUUGCUGAAAGACCACAUCAACUCAAGACGUCAGUGCUCCUGGUUCUUGGACUUUUGGACUGAAGUGAGGAAUUACACCGUCACUCUCCCACAUCCUCAAGACUUCAGAGUUAGACCGAAUGGCACCACCUGCUCCCCUGGUUCUCUAGCUUGCAGAUGGCAAAUUGUGGGACUUCUUGGCCUCUAUAACCACCUGAGCCAAUUUUUAUUAGAGAGAGAGAGAGAGAGAGAGAGAGAGAGAGAGAGAGAGAGAGAGAGAGAGAGAGAUCCUAUUGGUUUCUCUGGAGA